GACGAACGCUGGCGGCGUGCCUAAUACAUGCAAGUAGAACGCACAGUUUAUACUGUAGCUUGCUACACCAUACACUGUGAGUUGCGAACGAGUGUGUAACGCGUAGGUAACCUGCCUGGUAGCGGGGGAUAACUAUUGGAAACGCUAGCUAAUACCGCAUAAUAUUGAUUAUUGCAUGAUAAUUGAUUGAAAGAUGCUAUUGCAUCACUACCAGAUGGACCUGCGUUGGAUUAGCUAGUAGGUGAGGUAACGGCUCACCUAGGCGACGAUACAUAGCCGACCUGAGAGGGUGAUCGGCCACAAUGGGACUGAGACACGGCCCAGACUCCUACGGGAGGCAGCAGUAGGGAAUCUUCGGAAAUGGACGAAAGUCUGACCGAGCAACGCCGCGUGAGUGAAGAAGGUUUUCGGAUCGUAAAGCUCUGUUGUAAGGGAAGAACGGGUGUGAGAGUGGAAAGUUCACACUGUGACGGUAUCUUACCAGAAAGGGACGGCUAACUACGUG
RNAcentral lists this ribosomal RNA (505 nucleotides) under uncultured bacterium. RNAcentral describes it as "partial 16S ribosomal RNA". It matches the Rfam family "Bacterial small subunit ribosomal RNA", at positions 28 to 507 of the family's 1533-position model. The record is from RNAcentral.